Molecule: ribosomal RNA, 719 nt
Filed under: Ostreopsis cf. ovata
Lineage: Eukaryota; Dinophyceae; Peridiniales; Ostreopsidaceae
Description: eukaryotic LSU rRNA
Rfam family: Eukaryotic large subunit ribosomal RNA
Source: RNAcentral
CCAACAUCUGAAUAAAGGGCUUAAACCCGCUGAAUUUAAGCAUAUUAGUAACCAGAGGAACCCCCAUCAAACUUGGAUUUUGUAAGUAGUUGCGAAUGAACACAAACUUGAUCACUUUGGCAAUCUGUGCACAUCAUUGUGCAACAAUUUGUAUAUGUAGGCACAGUGCUAUCAAAGCUGCAUGCAAGUGAUUUUUGAAAGGAUACAACAUGGGAUGUGAUAUUCAUGUGUGUGUGCCUGCUGUGUCCACAGCCUGUGCUGUAUGAAUCACAUUUCUUGCAACUGAAAUGCUAAUAGCAUGGUAAAGUUCAUGUGACAUGAUACAAGCUUGAGAUUCAUGAUGUGCAAGUACCAUGAGGGAAAUGUGAAAAGGACUUUGAAAAGAGAAUUAAAGAAAGCCUGCAUUUGCUGACAAUAAAAGCAAGUGUAGAUGUUCAUGUAAUUGUUACUGCAUCAAUCAAUGUUCAUCAUGGUUACUGCAUGCUUUAUAUUACAGCUCAGAACACGAAGUGUGUGUAACAGCUUUGCUUUGAUUUUUCCCACAUGGGAUCAGUUGAAACUUUGUGAGAGCACUCUUCAGUUCCCGCACGUACCCACCAGCUUUGUCCACUCGUGUGUUGGCACACAUGUAAUGAUGAUGUGUUUAUGCAAGAUACUUCUGUGCGCACCAACAUGUUGUGCAAAUCUUCACUUGACCCGUCUUGAAACACGGACCAAGG